This 253-nucleotide ribosomal RNA is filed under the name uncultured bacterium. RNAcentral describes it as "partial 16S ribosomal RNA". It matches the Rfam family "Bacterial small subunit ribosomal RNA", at positions 524 to 776 of the family's 1533-position model. The record is from RNAcentral.
UACAGAGGGGGCAAGCGUUAUUCGGAAUUAUUGGGCGUAAAGGGCGCGUAGGCGGCCUUGCAAGUGGAAGGUGAAAUCCCUCGGCUUAACCGAGGAACUGCCUUCCAGACUGCUAGGCUUGAGACCGGGAGAGGUGAGUGGAAUUCCCAGUGUAGCGGUGAAAUGCGUAGAUAUUGGGAGGAACACCAGUGGCGAAGGCGGCUCACUGGACCGGUACUGACGCUGAUGCGCGAAAGCGUGGGGAGCAAACAGG